UAAAUCUGAAUUUAUAAUAUUAAAACACUAAAUGUUUCAUUAAACUGACAUCUUUACAAUGAAGUUCAGUAGACUCCAACACACGUGCAAUAGCCUCAUCAACCUGAUCCUGCACUUCUUUACUGGCAAAAAAUGUAUCAUCAGAGCUUUUAGGUGUCUGUGAGGAGCAAACUCCUAGAUCAAAUGAAGGAGAUUCAAGAACAUAGUCAUCAUGAACAUGUGAAAACUCAGGUGCCAUGUGACCCUUGUCCACUUUUUCAGCCACAUCAUCACCUUUUUGCUUGGGUUCUAUGUGAACAUUGUCACUUUUUUCAACAAUAUCAUCACCUUUUGGCUCAGGUUCCAUGUGACCCUUGCCCUUU
This 362-nucleotide long non-coding RNA is filed under the name Olea europaea subsp. europaea. The record is from RNAcentral. Lineage: Eukaryota; Viridiplantae; Streptophyta; Magnoliopsida; Lamiales; Oleaceae.